GCAGCCAUGGUGUAAUGGUAGCACACUGCUUUGCCAGCGCGAGGAAUUGAGUUCAAUUCUCAAUGACCGCA
This is a non-coding RNA of Lepraria neglecta, 71 nucleotides long. NCBI's taxonomy places the organism in Eukaryota, Fungi, Ascomycota, Lecanoromycetes, Lecanorales, Stereocaulaceae. The record is from the annotation of a GenBank genome assembly.